GAGGGCUCUGCCUGUUGGUGCUGAACACCAGGAGGGCUCUGCCUGCUCGUGGUAAGGGCUAGGAGGGCUCUGCCUGUUGUCAGGGAGCAGCAGGGGGGUUGCAGUGAGGAGCUCCGCCUGUUGGCAGGGAGGGCUGCCGCCUGUUCACGGUGAGGGGUGCUGCCUGUUACUGGGGAGCAUCUGGGGGGUCCACAGUGAGGGCUGUGGGCUGUUGGCAGGGAGCACCAGGAGGACUCUGCCUGUUGGUGGUGAGCACCAGGGGGUUCAUGGUGAGGGGCUCCUCCUCUUUACGGUGAGCAGCUCUGACUGUUCAUGGCGAGGGGCUGCGCCUGUUGGCGGUGAGGGGCUCUGCCUGUUGGUGGUGAGCACCGGGAGGGCACCACCUGUUCAUGGUGAGGGGCUCUGCCUGUUGGUGGGAAGGGCUGCCAGCUGUUGGGAUUGGGUGCCAGGAGGGCUCCUCCUGUUCAUGGUGAGGGGCUUCUGUUUCUGAUGAGGGGUUUCUGUUGAUGGUGAGGGGCUCCUGUUGAUGGUGGGGGGCUCCUGUUGGUGGUGAGGGGCUCCUGUUGGUGGUAGGGGGCUCCUGUUGAUUGUGAGGGGCUCCUGUUGGUGGUGGGGGGCUCCUGUUGGUGGUGGGGGGCUCCUGUUGGUGGUGGGGGGCUCCUGUUGGUGGUGAGGGGCUCCUGUUGGUGGUGGGGGGCUCCAAGUGUUCAUGGUGAGCACGAGGUGCUGUUCUGCCUGUUGGCAGUGGGCAGUUCCGCUGCGCUGCUCCAAACCCCCCAACAGAAUCCCCCGACCCCCAAUCCCGGCCCCAUAGGGGGCAGAAGGGACCUCUGGUUCCCCCCCACGUCACCCCCAACCCACAGUGCUGGGCCUGCGGUCACAGGCAGGGGGGUGAGAUGAGACCCCACCUCUGCUCUGGGUGGUGUGUUCUGUUGGGGGCCCAUUGGGAACCCAUUGGGAGCUCAUUGGAAAUCCAUUGGGAACCCAUUGAGGAUCCUAUUGGAAAUCCAUUGGGAACCCAUUGGGAAUCUACUGGAAAUCCAUUGGGAACCCAUUGGGAAUCUACUGGGAACCCAUUGGGGAACUCUUUGGGGAACCCAUUGGGAACCCAUUGGGAACCCAUUGGGAGCUCAUUGGGGAACUCAUUGGGAACCCAUUGGGAACCUACUGGAAAUCUAUUGGGAACUCAUUGGGGAACCUAUUGGGAACCCAUUGGACCCCAUUGGGAACCCCCUGGAAGUCCCAAUUGAGAACCCAUUGGAAGUGGCCCCAAACCCACUGUGGCCCCAUCCGCUUCCCACCAGACCCCCAUCUGGGCCCACAACCCCAAUUCCGUGUGUGGGUUCGGGGUCUCAGAGCAUUUGGGGGCAACUCUGAGAGCAUUGGGGGUUUUGGGGGGGGGGAAGUUCCUCCUGUGUGGAGGUGGAGUGGGGGGACACCCAGGGGGGGGGAGUCACUGAAACAGAGGGGGGAAGUCCUUGAAAAUAAGGGGGAGAUCCUAAAUAGUGAAUGGGGUCCUGAGGAGGGAAGGGGAGAAGCCCUAAAAUCGGGUGGAAGCCCCCAGAAAUAGAGGGGAGGCUUCUGGAAGAGUGCCCCAAAAUGGGGGGGGGCAAAAGAGGGGCGGCUCAGCUGCAGAAGGAGGGCCUCCCCACAGGGGGGUCA
Molecule: long non-coding RNA, 1662 nt
Organism: Phasianus colchicus (ring-necked pheasant)
Lineage: Eukaryota; Metazoa; Chordata; Aves; Galliformes; Phasianidae
Source: Ensembl